CCUACGGGAGGCAGCAGUGAGGAAUAUUGGUCAAUGGGCGGGAGCCUGAACCAGCCAAGUAGCGUGAAGGAUGACUGCCCUACGGGUUGUAAACUUCUUUUAUCAGGGAGUAAAGUGAGGCACGUGACCCUUUGUGUAUGUACUUGAUGAAUAAGGAUCGGCUAACUCCGUGCCAGCAGCCGCGGUAAUACGGAGGAUCCGAGCGUUAUCCGGAUUUAUUGGGUUUAAAGGGAGCGUAGAUGGGUUGUUAAGUCAGUUGUGAAAGUUUGCGGCUCAACCGUAAAAUUGCAAUUGAUACUGUCAGUAUUGAGUACAGUAGAGGUAGGCGGAAUUCGUGGUGUAGCGGUGAAAUGCUUAGAUAUCACGAAGAACUCCGAUUGCGAAGGCAGCUUACUAACCCGCCACUGACACUGAUGCACGAAAGUGUGGGUAUCAAACAGGAUUAGAUACCCCUGUAGUC
RNAcentral lists this ribosomal RNA (460 nucleotides) under uncultured bacterium. Its description in RNAcentral is "partial 16S ribosomal RNA". It matches the Rfam family "Bacterial small subunit ribosomal RNA", at positions 338 to 795 of the family's 1533-position model. The record is from RNAcentral.